RNAcentral lists this transfer RNA (74 nucleotides) under Candidatus Kaiserbacteria bacterium. Its description in RNAcentral is "tRNA-Lys". It matches the Rfam family "tRNA". From Rfam's summary of the family: Transfer RNA (tRNA) molecules are approximately 80 nucleotides in length. Lineage: Bacteria; Candidatus Kaiseribacteriota. The record is from RNAcentral.
GCCCCCAUAACUCAACGGUAGAGUAACUGCCUUUUAAGCAGUAAGUGGAGGUCCGAUUCCUCCUGGGGGCACCA